Molecule: long non-coding RNA, 350 nt
Filed under: Jatropha curcas
Lineage: Eukaryota; Viridiplantae; Streptophyta; Magnoliopsida; Malpighiales; Euphorbiaceae
Description: long non-coding RNA (JCUR_LNC000263)
Source: RNAcentral
UGCCCUCUAUUUGGAUCGGUUUCCUUGAAGUUGAGAUUGCUAGCUAAUAAGAUUUCGAUUGGAAAGAAGCAUCUCUGCCAAGAAAAUGGCAGUGAUUGUAAUUGAUGAAGCAAAAGAAACACACAAAGGAAAUGAAUUUCCUUACUCUGUGUAUCCAAAUUGCUUUUUCAAGAAAUGAUUGGUUAGUUGCAGCUUUCUUCCUUCCACAAAAUCAGUUACUUUAAUUCUAUUAUUGAUUACAUAUGGUGAAUUCUAAUUGUUAUUAUCAUUUUUGAUGUGCAUGCAAUUGUUGCUUUUGGUUUGUUAGGUUUUAAUUAGGGUUUAACUCCUUAUAAUAUAAUUUUUCGAAA